This is an RNA transcript of Helicoverpa zea (corn earworm), 7133 nucleotides long. It is a transcript of the gene named DENN domain-containing protein Crag, with no coding region annotated. The record is from RefSeq and is a predicted model, not a curated record. The transcript has 37 exons. NCBI's taxonomy places the organism in Eukaryota, Metazoa, Arthropoda, Insecta, Lepidoptera, Noctuidae.
GGCUGAUUGUUGUCGGACGGACAAAAUGACGUUUUGCAAGUCUCAAUAAAAACGAAUAAUUUUCAAGUGCACCCCUGUGUUAAACUAACAAGUGAUUAUAAAUGGCAACGCAAUAAAUCUAUAAAUAAAAAUAUUUACAUAAAACGAUGUGUGACGCGUUCAUGCUCAAAUUGUUAACCGUAGCAAUAAACUGUACUCGUAUGUAAAAUUGUAAAACAUGGAUGAGCGGAAAGUCGCCGAUUACUUCGUGAUCGCUGGGUUACCGGAGAAACCGGAAUUACUUGAUGAUUCCGACUCUGGACACCUCAAGGGAUACAGUACCAAACCACCAAUUACUGACAUAGGAGUAAUAUUUCCUGGUCUCGAAGAAACUGUUCCCGACGGUUACGAGGUGCUCGAAACAACACCCACAGGUUUACCAGCAGACUUGAAUCAUGGAUCCAUGCGGUCUCCAGAAUGUUACCUCUGCAUACGAAGAGGCAGGAAUCGACCUCCACUUGUCGAUAUCGGUGUCAUGUACGACGGCAAAGAACGUCUUAUGGCAGACGCCGAAAUGGUCCUGGUCUCCGCCGGUGGCAGGCUGGCCAAUGUUAACAACUCUACGGCAAAAACCUUCAUUACGUACCGCAGAGCGCACACGGGAGCCCCUUGCAAUGCUUUGGUGGUUGUCGAUGUGUGUGUGAUAGUGGCCAGCAAGGGGGAAUGUCCGCCGCAUGCCUUUUGUAUGAUACCCAAGAAUUUGAAUAAAGGUUUAAUGGGCAGUGAUGUGUUUCUCUGCUACAAGAAGUCAAUGAACCGUCCACCACUAAUUGCCUACAAACCCGAUGUACUGUUCAGGUAUCCAACGAUAGAGCGACGUAACUUAUUAUUUCCUACAUCGGUCCCGCUAUUUUGUUUGCCCAUGGGAGCAACUUUAGAACUAUGGCCUAACAACGCGGCGAUGCCUAAACCCGUCUUCUCGACUUUUGUACUCACUGUUGCGGAUGCUACUUAUAAGGUAUAUGGUUCAGCAGUAACCUUCUACGAGAAGUACCCUCACUCGAAACUAACUGAAGCACAGAUGGAACUGUUAGGAUGGAGAGAAGGAAUAUCACAAACGACUCACUCGGUGUACGCUAUCAAAUGUAUCUGUUUGCUGUCGCGGUGGCCUUUCAGUGAUACUUUUGAACGAUGGCUGCUUUAUAUACUAGAAAUGUCAUGGAGUAAAGAACCGUUAAACAUACCAAUAGAAAGGUAUAUUACACAUUUAUUAGAAGAGGUGCCCUUUCCGGAACCCAGAAUAUUGUUACAAUUAUCCCCAACAAACCAGCACGACCGUGUGAUAGUGACGCGUCGCGACGACCAGCCGCUCGUCCGCAGCGGCGCCAGCUUCCGACAGCUGCUGCUUAAUCUAGGACCCGAUAACUGUCUGCUGGUCUUAGCUUUAGCUAUCACAGAGCAAAAAGUACUUAUUCACUCGCUCAGGCCUGAUACAUUAACAGCUGUUUCGGAAGCAGUCUCAAGUUUACUAUUUCCGUUCAAAUGGCAAUGUCCUUACAUACCGUUGUGUCCAUUAGGUUUAGCAGAAGUAUUACACGCUCCAUUACCGUAUCUUAUCGGAGUCGACUCAAGAUUUUUUGAUCUGUACGAACCCCCACCAGAUGUGACCUGUGUUGAUUUAGACACCAAUAAUAUUACAAUAUGCGAAUCACAGAGGCAUAUAUCUCUCAAAUUACUACCGAAGCGGCAAGCGAGAGCACUUCGACAAACGCUAGACUUACUCUACGGUAACAUUAGACCAGCUUCACCAGUUCAUCAUGCAAGCGAAGCUAAAUACAAUGGAGAACCAACCACAAGUUUAGAUAGGGACUUCCAAAAGAGGAAAAAGGAGCAAGCAUUAGAGUUGAAAAUCCAAGAAGCGUUUUUACGUUUCAUGGCGGUCACACUACAAGGAUACAGAAAUUAUCUCAUACCUAUUACGAAGGCGCCUACCGUUGGAACCACGGACCCGCAUGCGUUGUUCCAUAUGGAUGCGUUUUUAAGGUCCAGGGAUAAGACACACCAACGCUUCUACGGUCUAAUGAUGCGUACACAAAUGUUCACGCGGUUCAUAGAAGAACGUUCCUUCGUGUACGAACCAGAUCAAGGGCUAACAUUCUUCGACGAGUGUAUAGAACGAGUGGCCGCUGGGGACGAACAACUGUUAGGAAUGGACACUAGUAAUGCUUCUGAGAGAACCGCUUUUGUGUUGCCCCCUGAUCCUCCUGACCCGGAAGCGACAUACAACUACUCGCGCUUCGAGCUGGACGAGAAAGUAAUGCAGUGGUGCGGCGGCCGAGCUCGAGCCGCCGCCCUGCACGCGCUGCCGCCCGCCGCCUUACACUCCGCCGAGUCUCUUAAUGAUGCCGAGCCCAUGGCCAGGAGGACUAAGCAUGAAAUUGCGGCGGCGCAGAGACUAGCCCGCAAGGCCAGUUUAUCAGCAGAAGCAUGGGCCAAGUGCCUGCUAGGCGCUUGUUACUCGCUAUACUUCCUGGCGCUGCCGUGCCGCAUGUCGCUGAGCCGCGGCCGGGAACACGCCACGCUGAGGGCGGCGUACGAACUGUUGGAACGGGCCACUAAGCUUAAAGUGCCUUGUGACGAGGUAUGCUACCGUGUAAUGAUGCAGUUAUGCGGCAACCACUCUUUACCAGUCUUAGCCGUACAACUGCUCUUCCUAAUGAAACGAGCCGGCUUGCAGCCCAAUGCACUCACUUAUGGGUAUUAUAACCGAUGUGUGCUGGAGGCUACGUGGCCGCAGGAUAUGCCUAGUGGAGCGCAACUACUAUGGAACAAACUCCGCAUAGCAGUAGUGGGAGCAGCUUUGUUCCGGAAAGCUGGGGCGCAGCGAGCUGGCAGAAAUACUCAGAAUUUGACUUCCGCUGGCAGCAGCAGCACAUUGCCGCGGGUCCGCUCGGCGGCGGCGGUGGGCGAGGGCGGCGAGCUGGCGGGGCUGGCCAACAUGGCGGCCUGCGAGCCCGCACACAGCCGCACUAGUCUAGACUCAGCUUGUGAACGCGACGCGGAAGCUCGUUCGAACGCGUUCGAGGCGCUCGUACGUCGCGGCAACAUCGUACGCGAUGCUCACACGCGGACACAUGCACAUGCUAUGUCGGCCGCCGCUGGCAUUCUUAUAUCAGGUAUACCGUCCAACCCAGAUUUGAGUGAAACAUCGCGACCGAGAAGUAAUUCAUUGAAUAACGAAGACUCCAGUAGUACACCUAUUCCAAUACCAGAGAAAAGACAGACAAUCCACGUAAGCCCGGACAGUCCGUCAGACCUCCGCAUCCUGACGCGGUCGGAGAGCUUCGCGGGGGACGCGCAGAUCGUGCAGCAAAUACAGAGGCUAGCCUUCCCUAGUGUAGUAACACCGAACACAAAAUCUCGGUGUUCGAGGACAUUGAGUUUCCCUGAAGAGCCGGAGAAAGAGGCCGCUGCGACUGACGCUUCCGAUGUUAAAACAUCGCCACUCAAAGUAUCAGCCCGCACCCCAGUCCUAAGCGACGACCCUCUCGGCGCACUAAGCCAACCGGACGUCCCACACGAACCGGUCACCCGCACUGAACCUGUCGACGAGCCCACAUUACCCAAACACGAGUUGAGCGUCAGUCCUAAGUUGUUCCACCGACGAAGUAACUCGUUCCAAGAUGAUCCGCCUCAGGAUAAUGCAGGAAGUGAGACGGCGCCUGCAGGUACCGUGUCUUCUAGCCUCGUUAGCCUCGGGAAUACAUUGAAAAUCAGCUUCGGACGCUAUUCGCCAGGCAGGCUGUCGUUGCGCAAGGAAAACAUGAAACUGGGGAAGGCUAUGAUCGAGAAUUACUUCAGUCCAACGAGUAUAGCAGGGAAAAGGUCCAAUGAAUUGCUACAAAGUGGUCUUAGCAGUCUGAAGUCAGCCGCGACGAGUAUGGCCAAGAAGUUCGAUGAAAUGAAAGAGGUUAUAUCGGCUAACUCGACUCCUGUGAAAGGCGCGUUCGGUAACGCUACCAGUGCGCUGAAUAGUUUGAUGGGAGAAGAGGAUUCGACUGAUGGGUCUUCUGAGAUGAAUCCUGAUGAAUGGGUUGGAGGUAUAGGAUUCAGACGAGCAUCGAGUGACGCAGAGCUAGCGUGCUCUAUGGAGCGCGGUUCUCUGGCUACACUUGUUUCGCACUUACCUGAUAACCUGUACCCUGUCACGAAUGACCAAUCAACAACCGAGAACUCAUCAGUAGUGGUCCACCUGUCUUCGUGUUCGCAAUGCCACCAGUGCCUCGCGUUCUUAUACGACGAGGACAUCAUGGCGGGCUGGGCGGCCGACGACUCUAACCUGAACACGCGCUGCAUCGCUUGCGGCAGACAUACUGUGCCGCUGCUCAAUGUGCAGAUACUCCGUUCCGACCAAAAACAAGAAACAUUAAGUGUGCCUUAUUUAAACCCUCUGGUGUUAAGGAAGGAAUUCGAAUCUAUAUUAGGUAGGGAAGGCGACUCAUGCUUAGCAGAAUCGAGCUUCGUAGAAUCACAUCCGAUCGUGUACUGGAACUUGGUAUGGUUCUUAGAGAGAGCGAACAUCGAGAACCAUCUCCCUGAUCUGCUCUGUCCCGACUUCCAAACCAAGUACCUUAGUACGGACAUGCUACAUGAACCGGAAAAAACUGGCGGUUGUCGCGUGGUGUGCACGUGGGAGCUGCCCCGCGGCGGCGGCGGCGACGGCAGCGAGGCGGGCGCGGCGCUGCACGCGGCGUGGCGCGGGCGCCGGCGCCUGCACCAGCGCUCGCGGGCGCUGCAGGCACUACUCCUUACCGAGGACGAGCAGCACGCUGGACACACUGUGGCUCUGGCGGUUCUCAACGGCUUGCUAAGCAACGAUCUGUCAGACGCUCUACAGAAACUUGCUACGUGGAGAGAAAACACAUCCAACAACAAACGAUACCAUUCCUUCUACAGAGAUAUAUUAUUCCUCGCAAUGGCGGCUCUCGGCGACCACAAUAUUGACUUAAUGGCUCUUCAACGGGAGUACACUCGCGCUCUCGACCAACUGGGAGGGGAAGCGAGGCCGCAGGACUUACCACCUUCACCGACUGCCGUGUGCUGCAGACAUUACUUUAAGCGGCUACGACUCCUCGCAGAAGAAUGAACAAGAUAAAAAGACUACAGAUAUCUGCAUAACAAUUAUGUAGUAUGCAACCUGCUAGUACUAGCUUCUUAGAUACAGUUCACGUAAAUUACUUUUGCUUCUCUGAAGUCAGCCAUUUGAAGUUUGCGCGGCAGUGACCAACUUCAGAGGGGCAAAGCGUUUUGACUUGUUCUGUAUACUCACAGAAUAAAAUACAAACGCGUGUCAAUCCGCUUCUCAUUAUAACGACAUGCCGUUGUGCAGUCUGACGUAAUAGAAUAAGUGAAUCAGUAUCUGCAACCAUGCAGUAUUCGUGCAACCUCCAAUAUGACCCAGGGCUGUCAUUGCACGAUUAUAAUUAUUUCAUAUUUACGUAACUCCAGCUUGCAAUGCUUUUAUUUACGACGCGGCUACUCGAAUAAGAGUUCCGAAUAUCCUUGUAUGUAUUGUUUUUUUUUUACAUACGUUAUUAUUUACAUUCAGAACCCAUAUAAACAGUAUAUGUAUAAUGAGUAGACAUGUGUUGUUGAUAAAGAGUUAUUAUUUUUUUGUAGUUUAGUUUUGAGAGUUUCGUUCUAUAUACAAAACUAGUAGGGAGUACCGUCCAUUUUAUUUUAGAACGAUAUAGUUUAUCGAAGCAUUACAUUUGUGUAUGACUAUGACAAAACCGGAACUUGACGAACUUCUUAAGCCCGUCCAAACGGGAUCAAGGUAUGCUUGAUUCAACAUAAAAUCUAUUAUAUACACAAUGAUUCUAUUCAUAAAAUUGUUAACCGUAAGGUCACGACUGUAAGAUAGAAGGAAUUGCGUGAGUUAUUGUGGCCUAAGUUUCAUGAACAUUGCCCCAAAAGUAUAUUACGAGGUAUCAUUCACUCAUAAGCAAUCUAUGUAAUAAAUUCACGUUUCGGCAUAUCCAUUAGUCUAGGUUCGUGGGUGCUAAGUUAAGUAAUUGGGACGGUGACCGCAGUAACGUAUGUACAUAGAGUUGUUGUAUAGUGUAGGUGUAAGGCCACAAAGGGCGAUAUGUAAUUGUGCUUAACAUUGUGAUGCCAGUGCUGUAACGCGGUUGAAUUCGUAAACGAAUUGUAUUAAGAGUUUGUGUGUGUGUUUACAUAGUCACAUUAUUUAUGUCCCAGGCACCCUGUGUGGUUAUAACGCAAUAAUCAUUUCUCUAAUUGUGCAAUACCGAUAUGUUUUGUACAGACAGUCAAUUUUGUGAUAUCAAACACCAUUUUUCAGUGACACUAAAUAAUGUGACUGCCAAAAUUCAAAAGUAUUCAUGAAAGUGUCAAUAUAGUUAGUUGAUAUUAUGAUGAAAUCAUAUUCGUUUGUUUCUAUUAUCUGUUCUAAAUAACUUUUUACGCCUUUAGUGAAGCGUAGCACGACUCGACUUUAAAUUGUACUAAUAUCACUGUUUCAAUCUGUUUUAUCAAUACAUGGAGAAAAAUAACAGAAAGAAUUGAAUGUAACAUGUACAUAAAAUGGUUUAUUUUAAUUGGCAGUUAAUCUGUACUGCAACUCUCAAAUACUCAGGAUACUAACCAAGUUCUUCAUAUUAUUUGUAUUACAGAAUAAUACAUAACACUAUUUAUUGAAACUAACCUUAGACACUAAAGUCAAACUAAUUUUUCGAACAAAUUCUAGUGAUUCUUAUUUAUUUGAAUCUACAAUCUUAUAAAUGUGUACAUCUUGGCUUACUACUUUCUUGUAUCCAGUUUUAUAAUAACAUUUAACACAAGAAUUUCACUACUUAACAUCUACGAAUUGUAUGUACACUAGUGAUCAUGUACAAGCCAUAUUGUUAGUUCCAUAAAAAUUGUACAAUGAAGCCACAAGGUUAUUUCAAGUUGUAAAAUAUUCAUUGUAAGCAAAAAUUGAAAUUUAAUUAUGUAUAUUAUUCAUAGCUACAGUCAUAAAAGACAAACAAUUAACUUAUGGGAGUUCUGUUAUUGAAUAAAGAUUAUUUUAUUUUGACAAGUGUAAUAAAAUGCAUAUAAUUUUUAUAAAAAAAAUAUAUAAGGCUUCAAUA